This 1368-nucleotide ribosomal RNA is filed under the name uncultured bacterium. RNAcentral's name for it is "partial 16S ribosomal RNA". It matches the Rfam family "Bacterial small subunit ribosomal RNA", at positions 8 to 1365 of the family's 1533-position model. The record is from RNAcentral.
AGAGUUUGAUCCUGGCUCAGGAUGAACGCUGGCGGCGUGCUUAACACAUGCAAGUCGAACGAAGCAUUUUAGAUGAGAUCUUCGGAUGGAUUUUGAAAUGACUGAGUGGCGGACGGGUGAGUAACGCGUGGGCAACCUGCCCUGUACAGGGGGACAACAGUUGGAAACGACUGCUAAUACCGCAUAAGCGCACAGCAUCGCAUGAUGCCGUGUGAAAAACUCCGGUGGUACAGGAUGGGCCCGCGUCUGAUUAGGUAGUUGGUGAGGUAACGGCCCACCAAGCCGACGAUCAGUAGCCGACCUGAGAGGGUGACCGGCCACAUUGGGACUGAGACACGGCCCAAACUCCUACGGGAGGCAGCAGUAGGGAAUUUUCGGCAAUAGGGGAAACCCUGACCGAGCAACGCCGCGUGAGUGAAGAAGGUCUUCGGAUUGUAAAGCUCUGUUGUAAGGGAAGAAAUGUACUGUGAGAAACAGUACUUGACGGUACCUUACCAGAAAGCUACGGCUAACUACGUGCCAGCAGCCGCGGUAAUACGUAGGUAGCGAGCGUUAUCCGGAAUUAUUGGGCGUAAAGGGUGCGUAGGCGGCCAUUUAAGUUCAUGGUGAAAGCGUGGGGCUCAACCCCAUAAAGCCAUGGAUACUGGAUGGCUGGAGUACUGGAGAGGGUAGUGGAAUUCCAUGUGUAGCGGUAAAAUGCGUAGAUAUAUGGAGGAACACCGGUGGCGAAGGCGGCUACCUGGACAGAGACUGACGCUGAGGCACGAAAGCGUGGGGAGCAAAUAGGAUUAGAUACCCUAGUAGUCCACGCUGUAAACGAUGAAUGCUGGGUAUCGGGGAGACUCGGUGCCGUAACUAACGCGAUAAGCAUCCCACCUGGGGAGUACGCCGGCAACGGUGAAACUCAAAGGAAUUGACGGGGGCCCGCACAAGCGGAGGAACAUGUGGUUUAAUUCGAUGAUACGCGAGGAACCUUACCCGGGCUUGAAUUGCAGAGGAAGGAUUUGGAGACAAUGACGCCCUUCGGGGUCUCUGUGAAGGUGCUGCAUGGUUGUCGUCAGCUCGUGCCGUGAGGUGUCGGCUUAAGUGCCAUAACGAGCGCAACCCCUCUCCUUAGUUGCCAUCAGGUCAAGCUGGGCACUCUGGGGACACUGCCACCGUAAGGUGUGAGGAAGGUGGGGAUGACGUCAAAUCAGCACGGCCCUUACGUCCGGGGCUACACACGUGUUACAAUGGCAGGUACAGAGAGAUGGUGUUCUGCAAAGCGCAUCUAAUCCUUAAAGCCUGUCUCAGUUCGGACUGGGGUCUGCAACCCGACCCCACGAAGCUGGAUUCGCUAGUAAUCGCGCAUCAGCCAUGGCGCGGUGA